Molecule: long non-coding RNA, 1488 nt
Organism: Diorhabda sublineata
Lineage: Eukaryota; Metazoa; Arthropoda; Insecta; Coleoptera; Chrysomelidae
Exons: 3
Source: RefSeq, a predicted model, not a curated record
AAUAAUAGAAGGUUGUCAUUACUUGCUUAAAUUUUAUUAUUAUAGUUUGUUUAUUAAAGCUUUUAGGUAUUACUUUUAUUUUCGACCGUCCUUUUUACACUAUUAUAAUUUUUUUCGUAUUGGUUUAGAUAUACAUAUAUAGGAUAGAAAACAUACCAUGACUUUAAACUAUUUAAAAAUUAGUAACUUAAAAAUACUAUUCUUUCAUAUCUUGAAAAACGCCACGGCUCAGCUAUGCUAAAGCCACUUAUUAGGAUAAAUAACUUAUUUUGAUAAAAACUGAAAGUAGUCGAAAUGUCAAAUUUUAUCUGUCUUUUUACGUUUUAUGAGGUAUUAUUUUGUCGCACGAAUUUUUUGUAUAGCACGACUAGUGAACGAAAGCCAUUAUACUAUAGGAACAUUGUGGUAACUAUAAUUGGAUGGUAGCACUGAUAAACAAAUAUAAAAUAAUUUAAAUUUUUUUUUUAAAAAUACGAGAAAAUAAGAGAAUUAAGAGACCUAACUAAUUUGCUUUUUUUGUGUGACAUUUUAUAGUGACAGGAUUAAUAUACAAAAUGCCCUUAAUACAAAUUGGUAAUUUAGAAAUAUGAAAGAUUAUAAUUCAAUGAGGUUGUCAGUAUUUUGAACUUGUUGAUAUUUUAAUUAUAAUGUAUCUACUAUAGCUUAUCCCAUUGUAUUAAUUCUAUUUAAUUUAAGUGAAUAACUUGUUUCUUAAGUUUAAUAGGUAGGUCAAUUGUUUACAGUUUUGUUUUUAAUUACUUGACAAAAUAAACUCAAAUUACAAGUAAAUCGGAUUAGACAGUCUAAAUCUUGACGUUACAGAAACGGGUGGAGCUUAUACCGACUCCAAACAAUUUUGUUGAGAAUGGUAAAUGCCCAUAAGCAAUUUUUCAUUUAGUGUUUUCGUGGUUUAUGUGAUAAAAUAAGACUUUUCAGUUGAAGGAAUGUACUAUUUAAGAGGUUUUCAUUAGUUUUUCACCAGACUGUAAACAUUACAGUUCAAACCAUCCAUGUAAGUUUUUUCGGUUCCCAAAAAACAAAACCGAGAGGAAUAGAUGGAAGGAUGGAUAAGGUAAAAGAAUGAUAACAUUCACUCAAAAGAUAGAGAUCCAAGUGAAUUUGCAAAAGUGUGCGAUUGUCACUUUUUAAAUAAAGAAAAAAAGAAUGGGACAACUUUAUUUGAUUUCAAUAUUCAGAAGAAGUUUAAUAUAAAAUCACCAGAAAAAAAAAGUGAACUGUAGAAAACCUUGUGACCGACCUACUACUAGGACCUUCAACUGAACCACUACCAGGUACUUCAAGUGAGCCACUACCAGGAUCUUCAACUGAGCCACUGCCAGGAUAAUUUUGAGUUUUAAAUAUUUUUUAUUGUAGCAAUAUAUUUUCUUAUUCGACUUUUUUUGUAAAAAGUUUAGAAAUUUAUGUAUAUUUAGAUUUUACUUAAUUUAUAAAUAACUUGAUGUAAUACAAUUAUUGUUAAAGUAAUAA